GCUCCCAACCUUCCCAGGCAGAUAUCUUAUCCCAGCCUUCUCAAGUUCACUGUUAGUGGUUCUUUGGCCUCUAUCCAUCAGAACUCCAAUAGACACCACUUUUCUUCCAUCUUCCCAUUUUGAAAAGAGAGAGAUGUGCGUAUCCACCGCUCCACCUCUCCACUGCCGUACCAGUGACACCAUCCCAACUUUCUUUCUAGCAGAUCUUGAUUUGUUAUCCAACCUUAGGGUAUUCGAUGAUGCUCUAAUGAUUGAAUCUAUCGGUUUUCUCUGAGCCGCAGUCCCUACAACGUCUUACGUAAACAGCGUCUGUGACCUGUGUUGUCUUCAAAUGAUGCCAAUGUGAAUUUUAAGGUGCGGAUGUUAACCGUCACGCUGGUGAAGUUUAGGUAUGUUUAUCAUGGUUUUAUUUAAUUAGGGUUUUUAUUUAUGAUCAUUCGAUUUCCUUUGUUUAAAUAUUUUCUUUGUGCAAGAUGAUCAGAUGUAUAGUAGAGUUGUAUCGUAUUCGAAUAAUAAGCAUUUCGGAACCAUGUUUCUUUUUACUUACACCGUCACUUUACCCUUACACAAUACUUCUUAGAUGCUCAGUCAUUAUACCUUACACCACACAUGUCCACUUCAAAAACACCGCCACUGCAUUGGUCCAUCACGGAAAAGGGUAUAACCAGUUAACGCAAUAGAAUCUGUUCACAAUUAUACGUGAAAUUUUUUGUUUUAACAACUUGCUUGGUGAUCUUAUCAUCUGAACUCGUAAUCAUAAAAUUGCACUCAAAAGUCGAUAGGAAUGAUUACGAUUUUGUGAGGACCAGCCUUGCUGCUUGCAAGGCUUUGAUGUUGUCUAUGAUAUAAAUGGUGUGCAGAAUCCAAAAAAUGUAUUUUUCACAAUUGUUUUUUUUCAUAAUUUGUAGGAAAUUAAAAAAACUGGUGCAUAUGACAAGUUUACCCCUAAUGAGUAGUAACAAUCAGAGUCCCAUGCUUAUUAUUUUAGUUUUCGCAAGUUAUAAUAGUAAAUUUUUCAUAAUCCAUGCUCCACAUUUUUUUUAUUUAUUAUAGCUUAUAAAUUGCAUUGUGUAUUUUGCUGACAAAUUGAUACUUUUCAGUUAUUAGAACUGGGUCUUUUUUUUCAAGCUCGGAUCCAGUUUUACCUUACGCUUUUGCAUAAUGUUUGUCGGAAGACGACCCAAGCGGAGUUCCGAUGGUGGGGCAGAAUUGGUCAGGUUUAGGCUGUUAAUUUAUUCAUUAUGUGGUUGUAUGUAGAUGUUAAUUGUGUUUGUAUAUUGUUAACUCUGUUUCCUUUUGGAUUGGAAGAUCUAAGGAGAUGUAGAGACUAGAGAUUAAAAUAAAAUUUAAAUGAUUUGAUAUACUUUUUACUCCGUUUGAGUAAGAUUUUUGGUCAAUUCAUGGAUAGCUGGGAUAAUGACGAAACCUCAUGUCAGUGCACUGCUAUUACUUGCUAUCCAAGUGACCAAAGGGUUCUAGCCAUGUAAGUCUUUUUUUUUAUUCCAAGUAAUCAACUUUUUUACAACACAUUUUAAAAAAAUAUAUAUAAAAAGGACAUGGUCAACUACUGACUAAACAUAUAUUGUAGUGUAUUUGGUUUUAUAUUUAGCUACAUUUUAGUAUCGGUACUAUGCGGUAUGGUACCGGUUCGGUAAUUUUAAUGGUACCGUUCCAUACCGGUACCCACUGAACAUAUAUGUUGCUGCAUUCGGUUUUGAAUUCAGCUAAAUUUUGGUGUGGUACUAUAUAUGGUUUGGUACGAUACCAGUGCAGAACCAAAUCGUGAAUGCACUUCAUUUGGGCAUAUGAGAAAGGGCUUAACUGGAGUAUAUGGUAAAUCAGUUUGGAAAUCGGCUGAUUUAAUAGCUUAAUUGAAGUGAUAAUUUUACAUCAUUGUUUGUGAAUUUCCUUCUUUUUUGGUAAUUGCUAAAUUGAUUUGUUAAUUUUGAGUAUAUUGACGAUUUGGUACAUUUUUUUUCAAGAAUCAAAAUUUUGUUUUAUAAAGGGUUAAAGCUCAAGAUUUAAGAUCAUACAAAGGUUUUGGUUCCUUCAAGUUCUUUAGAACCCGUUUAAAAUUUAAUUUUACAGUUUUUGGUUCCUUCAAGAUUAUGGCAGCUAUUGCUAUGGAGUUUAGCGAACCAAGCAAGCCUAGGGCGCGGUACACAAGACCAUAUAGCCAAUCCCUGUCAAUGAAGUGAUCCUUCCAUGAUUAAAGGUUGCAGGAACGAAUUUCAUCAUCAAUGCACUCUUGAAUGAUGCUUGAAGGUGAGCCACCGUUAUCGAAUCUUGAAGCUUAUGAAGCAGCAAAAUAUGUGGCGGAAGGACACAAAACUAUACUAAAAUCAAAAGGUUACACUCCUGAACCAAAGAAGUUUGGCAACCAACUCAAAACGGUGAAACCAAGACCAUAUUAACUAAGCACAUCACCAACAGGAACAUGUUGGACUAGAAGAUGACACUCUAUGAUCAUAAUCAGACUGGUCCAGGGCUCGAUUUGGCCGAGUCAUCUAAACAUAAAGAUAUGUGAUUUUGGUUACUAAAAGGUAAACAUUAAUUUACUUUUCGUAAUAUUGAUUUUGGUUUGAUUUGAUUUGUAUAUGAUCUACUUCGGUCUUAGUCCUACAUUCACAACCAAAAUCCAGAGUUGGAACACCGGCGUAAGUUGCCCCAAAAGUGACACUAGCACAACAUUUUGUGCUUAUUUGUUCGAAAUCUAAAUUGGUUUUUGCUUUGUUAUUUGUCUUGGGUGAAUGUUUUUUAGUGUCACAUGACUCAUUUUGUAUCAUCACUAGAUUACGUGUUUGUAUAAGUUGAUCCAAUUGUAAGUUACUGGAGUCUUUAACAUAAUUAUUGUGCAUUA
This is a long non-coding RNA of Helianthus annuus (common sunflower), 2860 nucleotides long. RefSeq lists it as uncharacterized. The transcript is spliced from 6 exons. NCBI's taxonomy places the organism in Eukaryota, Viridiplantae, Streptophyta, Magnoliopsida, Asterales, Asteraceae. The record is from RefSeq and is a predicted model, not a curated record.